AAACACCCUCAGCUCCUCUCUUGUUUCGACGGAAGAGGGGCUGGACUUGAGUGAUCCCAACGGCAGUGAUUUUCGAAGAACUGUUGGCGGGUCGCUUGAAAUGCAGGUGCGGCAGGACACAUCUUCUGAGCUAUAAGCAUUACUUAUUUAGUCCCGUCAAACGGAUUAUAUCUAUUGCUGCAGCUAACAUAAAGGUCGAUUGUCCUUGUGCCCGACUGAUGCAGGAAAAUGAAGGCGGGUCUCUUGUAGACGCGUCCUUUGUUCA
This 265-nucleotide unclassified non-coding RNA is filed under the name uncultured Mortierella. RNAcentral's name for it is "sequence contains ITS2". Lineage: Eukaryota; Fungi; Mortierellomycota; Mortierellomycetes; Mortierellales; Mortierellaceae. The record is from RNAcentral.